Molecule: ribosomal RNA, 421 nt
Filed under: uncultured bacterium
Lineage: Bacteria
Description: bacterial SSU rRNA
Rfam family: Bacterial small subunit ribosomal RNA
Source: RNAcentral
GGGCCCGCACAAGCGGUGGAGCAUGUGGUUUAAUUCGAUGAUACGCGAGGAACCUUACCAGGGCUUAAAUGUAGUGGGACAGGUCUAGAGAUAGACCCUUCUUCGGACUCAUUACAAGGUGCUGCAUGGUUGUCGUCAGCUCGUGCCGUGAGGUGUCAGGUUAAGUCCUAUAACGAGCGCAACCCCUAUCGUUAGUUGCCAGCGAGUAAUGUCGGGAACUCUAACGAAACUGCCAGUGCAAACUGUGAGGAAGGUGGGGAUGACGUCAAAUCAUCACGGCCCUUACGUCCUGGGCUACACACGUGCUACAAUGGCCGGUACAGAGAGCAGCCAUACUGCGGUGAAUACGUUCCCGGGCCUUGUACACACCGCCCGUCACACCAUGGAAGCUGGCUAUGCCCAAAGUCGUUACUCCAACCGU